UUUUAUAGUUUUCACACAUUAUCAUUAUGCGUAAAGAUACUAAGAUAAUAGGUAGAAAAUAUCAGUAGUAUUAGAGUUGAGCAGUCUACUGUAGGUUUUUCCUCCUUUUCCCCAAGAGGUGCAUUAGCUGGUGGCGGUGAUGCCUGCAGGCAGUCCUCGGUUGCCGGGGAAACACAGAUGGUGGAUGAAGCGCGCAUACAAAAGACCAUAAACCUGUGGCAGCAGCUGGAGACCGAGACCGCCGAUUAAUUCCCGUCUGUGCCUCCUCGCUCAGUCAAAGACAUCGGCGUUGUGUUUAAUACCUUCCAUCUAUUUUCUUUGUCCCGGGGCUUCCGUUUCUUCUUCAUCCUGUUUUCCCCGGACUGGACUCCAGUCAGUGCGCAGCUGUUGUUGGCACUCCCACAUCUGCUUGUGUCUCAGGUCGGCAGCCAUAAAGACGACGUUCAGCCGCGGAUCCUUUGGUAGACGAAGCUCCAGGUCCAGAGGGAGAGCAGCCUUUUUACUGCAGGCGAAACCACACAGACCUGCUUUAUCACACAUACAGUAGGAAGUUUAAUCUGAGCAUGGAGAAGGAGGAAGACGAUGCGCUGACGACGUCGCACCGUUUGAUACUGCGGGACAGGUGCGUGUGGAAGCUGGAGGUCUGUGGUAACCCUAUGGUCAUGAGGCUUGGACUUUGCCCUGGAUCCAGCUGCUGUCAGGACACUGGGAGGAUCCACAUGGGACCCACAGCAGGACAGGUUAUGUGUACAUGAUGAAUUAUCUUUUCUAAAAUCAGGAAGGAGGUUAAUUCUCAUCAUCACAUAAUAUGAGAGAAAAUACAGCAGGGGAAUUUAAAUAUAGCCUGAGAGUUUUUCAGUGUUGUAAAGAAAGGCUGUCUCUAGAGGUUCAUGUCUUAUACUAGUGUGUUUCACUCUCGUUUGCAUCAGGCUGAAUAAAAGAUGUAUGAGUAGAAAUAAUUAAGGGAAAUAAAGAGCAAUCCCUGCAUAGCUUUGGGUGGACAGUUGGGUUGCGUCCCACUUUUCUGCUGCUUUGUUUCAUGUGUUCUUCUCCAGUUACACUGAUGUGAAAGCAGACUGGGACUCACACUGGACCUCAUUGUCCUCCCGGCGGCGUCGCUCCAACAUCCACUGUAUACUGCCUCUAAUAGACUGUGUUUGAUGCCAUCACUGCUGUCCUGCUCCUGUAGAUGAAGAUGAUCCAGGCUCAGACUUUCCUGACUGAUGGACUACAGAGAUGACCUCUGACCUUUGUGUGUGAUUAAGUUCAAUACACCACCAAUGGAUUGUGGUCAGCGUCAGUGUAAUAUGUUUUUAUAAGGUGGUUUAUUGAGCCAAGAAUAAUUCGCUGUUGUAGGGUAUUCUGUUCCCUCUUGGUUGUUUGUGUGUUUUCUUUGGGUGUGAGUAAUAUUUUUAUUGCUUCAUCCACUCCUCCGCUGUUUUUGAUUAAUCAAAAACAGUGACACAAUGUCCAACGGACACCCCUCACACAUUUUUCAGCUGAUGAUUGCGGACACCUCUUCUCUGUGUUACCUUGGUUACUCUGCUUUUUCCACAUAGAAGACAUUUACAAUUCACAAGGACGCUGUGGUGUCUGUUAGCCUGGCACUUUACUCUCUAUCCUAGACCCACAACUGGAAAACACUGACAUUUUAAGCCUGUAAAAAAACCACAUUGAUACUGUAUAUUAUGUUUCCAUUUUGAAAAAAAAUCCCAUAAUUAACUCUACAUGUUCUUUGUUUACACUGAAAUCUCCCAAAUCAGCUGUGGUGCCAACUAUUUUCUACUGUGUGUACAUUACUGCUGUGUGGGUGUGUGUUCUUGUGUGAGUGCAUGUGUUUGUGUGCAUGUGCUGCAACUGUGUGCGUGUUUACUCCUGUAUGUGUGCAUGUGUAAUUCCUGUUUGUCUACCAAACCUAUUUGUUAUGGGCCUGAGCUAUAAGCUGCUUUUCAGUGAUUUUCUCAAAGCUGCAAACUGUUAAAAUGCCUGAAGCUGUUCUUUUAGCCUCUAAAUGUUCCAGACAAGGGAUAAGAUAUUUACAAAUGAUUAUUAGCAUUUACUCAAAAGUCAAUGAAAUGCCAGUUACGUUAGAAUUUUUGUGGUAUAGAUAAUGAGAAGAAUGUCACUGAAGAUUAAUGGUUUGUAUUUUUCUAAAUGAUGCCCAGUGGCUUUCAUUAAAUCAGCCUGGUGCCAUAAAGCCCAUCAUCUUAUGUUUAAGGAAAUUACACAGAAUGCUAAUAAUUACAUGCAAAUAACCUUUUACCCAGGUCUGGAUUGUACUAACAGAAUCUCACUAAUAUCUAACAGUACUAAUGUCUGCUAACAGUCAGAUGAUUACUAACCUAUCCUUGCUAAUUACUGUGCUAAUGGCUGGCCUUGUUCCUAACCCUCCAACUAACUCUCUGCUUUAUGCUCGCAGUCUGAUGCACAUACUCCUUUUCCAUCAUCCUGCAGCCCUUUUUGGUCUAUAAAUGAACUAUUCAGUAGAAGUGUUUGAGAAGGAAUCAGUGAAAAUGUUAAAGUGUGCAUGUUAUGGAAGGUUUCAGGAUUUGGAAAGGAGAAUGUUACAAGAUUCAAAAAGAGCAGAAACUGCUGUUACUAUCAAUCUGGGUUGACCACACAGGUUUCUUUAGAGAAUUCACAUAAAGUCUUAUCAUCAGAUUCCAAUUAUUAUGUUUUCAGAUGACACAGUGUAAAUUCCUGUCUUCUGGGACUUCCAUUAUGAUGGUUCUGUGCACUGUGUGGUCAACCUCUGCAGGUGAGUGUCUGGCUUGUUGUCAACACAGGGAAUGUAGUAAACUACAAGCCAAGCAAACCCAAACUCCACUACUAACUGAUGAGUUGUUACUAACAGUGCAAGCAUCCACCUGUUGCUCUGACUAACAUUUCUGUACUCUUUUCAACUAAUACCUGAUUGUUGUCUCAAUCUGCAACCUAAUUAUCUUAGAGAUUUUGUACUCCUUAUCAACACAUGCCCUGUGGCAAAAUACAAUGGAAGAUUCUAAAACUUUUAACUAAUGUAUUUUCUCGUGCCUUGAGUGUGUUCUUCUAUACUCUGAGUGAAGCCUCAUAGCUCUAAGAGUAUCUUAGAAUGUGUUUGUGACCUGCUCUAUCAGUAGAUACAAAGAAAAUGCAUAAAUUACACUGUUCUGUGCCUUGCAAACUACUAACAUCUCCUUGAGUUUAAUUAACACAUACUAACCCAAAGAGCUGCCAGUGGCUCUUUACAAACUAACAAACUAACCUACUAAUAAAAGUAUGAUCUAACAAACUAACUGAAAUCACUAACUUUGUAGAAUCUGUGAAGUAACCUCAGUCUGAGUUAUUGGAUCAGUUAAUGAAUGUGUUAUCAGAGUAAAUCUCUGUUUAAAAAAAGGAAAAUAAUAUGCUUGUACAUUAUGUGUGAACGAGUGUGUGUUUGUGUGGGUGUGAGGAAAUAAAUCUUUCAAGCUGUGACCUGAUUCUGAAAAACAAUCAUUUGGCAUUGAAGUGCAUCUGAGUUUAUGGGAGUGACCUAGUCCAAAUGUAAUAAUGAAACUCUGCUGAGGAUCAGGUUCCUGAUCUAACACAAAAGAUGACUGUUAUUCAAUGAUGAAGUGUCAUUCAUGAAA
Long non-coding RNA from Sphaeramia orbicularis (orbiculate cardinalfish), 3611 nucleotides. RefSeq lists it as uncharacterized. The transcript has 3 exons. The record is from RefSeq and is a predicted model, not a curated record. NCBI's taxonomy places the organism in Eukaryota, Metazoa, Chordata, Actinopteri, Kurtiformes, Apogonidae.